RNAcentral lists this transfer RNA (76 nucleotides) under Bacillus subtilis subsp. subtilis str. BSP1. RNAcentral describes it as "tRNA-Phe". Lineage: Bacteria; Bacillati; Bacillota; Bacilli; Caryophanales; Bacillaceae. The record is from RNAcentral.
CGAACCGCGCUUGACAAAAUCCGAGCUUCCUAUGCUUGACGGCGGGGAAGAGCACACAAUCAAUGAAACGAUGGCA